GAUGAACGCUGGCGGCGUGCCUAAUACAUGCAAGUCGAGCGAACAGACGAGGAGCUUGCUCCUCUGACGUUAGCGGCGGACGGGUGAGUAACACGUGGAUAACCUACCUAUAAGACUGGGAUAACUUCGGGAAACCGGAGCUAAUACCGGAUAACAUGUUGAACCGCAUGGUUUAACAGUGAAAGACGGUCUUGCUGUCACUUAUAGAUGGAUCCGCGCCGCAUUAGCUAGUUGGUAAGGUAACGGCUUACCAAGGCAACGAUGCGUAGCCGACCUGAGAGGGUGAUCGGCCACACUGGAACUGAGACACGGUCCAGACUCCUACGGGAGGCAGCAGUAGGGAAUCUUCCGCAAUGGGCGAAAGCCUGACGGAGCAACGCCGCGUGAGUGAAGAAGGUCUUCGGAUCGUAAAACUCUGUUAUUAGGGAAGAACAAAUGUGUAAGUAACUAUGCACGUCUCGACGGUACCUAAUCAGAAAGCCACGGCUAACUACGUG
This 497-nucleotide ribosomal RNA is filed under the name uncultured bacterium. RNAcentral's name for it is "partial 16S ribosomal RNA". It matches the Rfam family "Bacterial small subunit ribosomal RNA", at positions 28 to 507 of the family's 1533-position model. The record is from RNAcentral.